Molecule: long non-coding RNA, 489 nt
Filed under: Brassica rapa (field mustard)
Lineage: Eukaryota; Viridiplantae; Streptophyta; Magnoliopsida; Brassicales; Brassicaceae
Description: long non-coding RNA (BRAP_LNC008417)
Source: RNAcentral
AAGUUUCGAUCCUUGUUUUGUUGGACCGGUGCAUCACAUCCGGCAACGAUCGAUGUCUGGUAGUAUCUUUGGGCUAUUCCGCAACCCUUAGUGUCAUCGUUCAUACCAUCAUUUCUCAAUCCUCUCGGAUCUGAGUUCAUAUCAACCAUACCGAAAGAGUGAUCCUUAUUUUGGUUCUAUCAAGUGGUAUCAGAGCCACUCUCUCGGUAACUCUAUUUCAUUCCAUCUUCUCAUCUCUCCAUAUUCUUCAAACACUUCUUCUUCUACCUUUCUUGAAUCCGGGCCCCUCAUUACCAUCCAUAUAUUAAAAAAAAUAAUGAGAAAAAGAAAGAUCUAUCAAAAAAAAAAAAAGAGAUUCAAAAGAUUGAUUUGUGGAUUUGGUGGAAGAGAAAUCUUGCUGGCUGAGGAGAAAUCCAGCCUUUGAGGUGGUUAAGGCAGUUUCCAAAAUCAAAAUCUCUUAUCUAUCUAUCUUGAAAAAACCCUUUGUUU